RNAcentral lists this ribosomal RNA (96 nucleotides) under Natranaerovirga pectinivora. RNAcentral's name for it is "partial 23S ribosomal RNA". It matches the Rfam family "Bacterial large subunit ribosomal RNA", at positions 1 to 93 of the family's 2925-position model. The record is from RNAcentral. Lineage: Bacteria; Bacillati; Bacillota; Clostridia; Lachnospirales; Natranaerovirgaceae.
AUAGAUUAAGAUAGUAAGAGCGUAGGGUGGAUGCCUUGGCACUGAGAGCCGAUGAAGGACGUGAUAAGCUGCGAAAAGCUUCGGGGAGGCGCAAAU